This 75-nucleotide antisense RNA is filed under the name Micromonospora citrea. RNAcentral describes it as "ASpks TB sRNA". It matches the Rfam family "ASpks TB sRNA". Lineage: Bacteria; Bacillati; Actinomycetota; Actinomycetes; Micromonosporales; Micromonosporaceae. The record is from RNAcentral.
CUUGAUCGACCCCAACAGCAGCGGACGGUCGACGGGACGCUCCUGCCCGUACGUGGCCAGCAACGCCUGCGCCUC